GUCCCUCGGCCUCGCCCGCGUCCGUGCCCUGAGCCCAGGCGCCCCGGAGCCAACUCUGGGAAACCCGCAAACUAUUGCGCUCAGCCGGUGCCCUACGCUCUCCACUUCUCCCUCCGCUAGACAACGUUCUCAGCGGGCGCUCGGCGGUUCCCCAGGCGGACGCGCCCGCUGGGCUAGCCUCCGUGCCCUGAGCUGGGCAAGCAGUCUGGUGGGAAAGAAGGUCCAGCCUCUGCCCUCCCCAGCAGGUCAUAAUGAGUAUGGAUUUCCACUCUGGAGAAGUCAACUGAUGAAGAACAGGGGUUGGCAAUCUUCCCGUUGGUGUAUUUUUGGUAAAUUGCUGACUCUGAUGCAGAAGGAUUGAUGUUCUUCCAGAGAAUCAAAGCCCCAUCAGUCUGAAUCCCUGAGUACGGAUCCCAUGGAGCAGAGACGGGACUGACUUGGGAUGGAUGUGUAGCAUAAAAAGAAACAAACCUUUGUUUUUCUAAGCCACCGGAGAUUGUUUUUUGCUGCCGCAUAAGGUAACCUAUGCUGACUGAUUCGAAGCAGGAGGUAAUUUCUGGCAGUAUAGAUAACUAGAUACUCAGAAGCCCUUCCAAGUACAAAAGAACUGGAUUUUUUGUUUGUUUCUCUGUUGUUGUUGUUGUUUUUCUUUGCUACAUGGCUUGCAGGAUCUCAGUUUCCCAACCAGAGAAUGAACUCAGGCCAUGGCAGUGAAAGUGCUGUGCUAAUUAUUGGACCACCAGGGAAUUUCCUGGAUCACUUUUUAAAUGGACUGUUGGGCUUGUAAGUAGUAAAGUCAUUGUCCAGGGACAGCUCUUAUCCUCAAAUAUGAGCUGAAACCAGAACUGGGAACCAAGAGGGCUAAGAAAAUAAGAAUACUGGGUUAUCCUAAGGGCUGGAACCAUUGCGGCACAGCAUGAACCCGAAAGUAUCAGAAGAACGGGAAGCCAAGAGCCUGACACUUCCUCCUUAGGCCAGGACCCUCUAAAAAGGGUGAAGUAUGUUCUCAGGUUGGUGUUUUCCUUCUGUUCCCAACAGAAUCAAAUACUCAGUGGGAAAGCCAAGAGUCACCAGGUAUGAGUUUGAAUCCAAGAUCACCAAGCACAGAAGGAGGCAGACCACCAAGAGAGAGUGAGUCACUGGAAAAACAAGCAUCUAGUUUAGACCCCGAGAAAUUUGGAUGUAUAUUUUCAUUUAUGAACGUGUUUAGAGCAAUUAUUAAGUGCUGGCUUCCCUGGUGGCUCAGACGGUAAAAGCGUCUGUCUACAAUGCGGGAGGCCCAGGUUCGAUCCCUGGGUUGGGAAGAUUCCUGGAGAAGGAAACGGCACCCCACUCCAGUGUCCUUGCCUGGAAAAUCCCAUAGAUGGAGGAGCCUGGUAGGCUACAGUCCAUAGGGUCGGUAAGAGUCGGACACGACUGAGCAACUUCACUUCACUUCUUCAGUUAAGUGCUAGCUCUGUUGUAAAGUUUUUUUCCCAAUUUUAACUUACUUAAUUCCCAUAACAACACUAUGAAGCAAGUACUACUGUUAUCCCCAUUUUAUAAAGGAAAAAACUGAGGCACAGGGAGACUAAGUAAUUUAUUCCGGGUCAACUUUUCUUAAAUGGUGUGUGUAUGCUAAGUCGCUUCAGUCAUGGCCAACUCUUUGCAACCCCAUAGACUGUAGCCCACCCAUCUGUCCAUGGGAUUCUGCAGGCAAGAAUAUUGAAGUGGGUUGCCAUGCCCUGCUCCAGGUGAUCUUUCUGACCCAGGGAUCGAACUCAUGUCUCUUAUGUCUCCUGCAUUGGCAGGUGGGUUCUUUACCACUAGCACCACCUGGGUAGCUUUAGUGGUAGAGCUACAAUCUGGAUUCAGACAGUUGGUUCUAGAGUCUGCACUCUUCCCACUACAUUCUGUUGACUUACUAACAUAGAAUGUCUACAUUUGACAAAUUUAAAUAAAUAAGAAGUGGAAAACCAAAGAUAAGAAAACAACAAAAGAUGAUUUGGAAAAGAAUAAAAAAGAGACAAAAUAAAAUGGUUGAAAGUAAACAUUUAAUGAACAUGUUAAAUAUCUGAAGAGAUAAUUGGCGAAUUCAAGAAUAUUUGAAGAAAACAUUCAAAAUGUAGCACAGGAAAAAAGGAAUGGAAAAUAAAGAGAAAUUUAUUUUGAUUCAUUUUGAUGUUUGGCAAAAAAAUUUAAAAAAAAAAAAGAAAUUUAAAGAUAUGGAAG
Molecule: long non-coding RNA, 2211 nt
Organism: Bos taurus (domestic cattle)
Lineage: Eukaryota; Metazoa; Chordata; Mammalia; Artiodactyla; Bovidae
Source: Ensembl